Molecule: long non-coding RNA, 517 nt
Organism: Syngnathus typhle (broad-nosed pipefish)
Lineage: Eukaryota; Metazoa; Chordata; Actinopteri; Syngnathiformes; Syngnathidae
Exons: 2
Source: RefSeq, a predicted model, not a curated record
UGCAAAUGGUUGUUUGUCUCUGUGUGCCCUGCGAUUGGCUGGCAACCGGUUCAAGGUGUCCCCCGCCUACUGCCCGAUGACGGCUGGGAUAGGCUCCAGCACGCCCGCGACCCCAGUGGGGACUAAGCGGUACAGAAAAUGGACGGAUGGAUGGAUAGUUUGACAGUGCAGGCGGUCCAUAAAUAAUACAUUAUGUUACUGCUAUAUUUCGUUUCUUUUCAUUUUCUGUGUAUUUUCAUUAUUAUUACCGUUGAGUGCCACCAGAGGGCGCUAUAGUGUAAGUGAGCUUUGUAAGAAGAAGUAGAGGUUAGUUUCGAAGAAGAAGCGAUCUCUCGAGAGAUCGAAAGAUGCGUGACUGAAGCGUGGUCACAAAGCUAAGUUGUUAAGAAAGUUAAGAAACAAUAAGAAGAAGAAGACGACUGAAACUAAUUCCUCUCUCGGUACUCAGCCAACGAGUUUUCACGGUGUGUUUAUGAGUCUGAACAAGCUGGAUUCAAUAAAUCCAUCAGUUGAGAAA